RNAcentral lists this transfer RNA (69 nucleotides) under Gordionus alpestris. RNAcentral's name for it is "tRNA-Met". RNAcentral also lists the same sequence under 1 other name. Lineage: Eukaryota; Metazoa; Nematomorpha; Gordioida; Chordodea; Parachordodidae. The record is from RNAcentral.
AAUAAGGUAAGCUAAAGAUUAAAAGCUUAUGGGUUCAUACCUCAUAUAUGAUUAUAAAAUCCCUUAUAA